RNAcentral lists this transfer RNA (73 nucleotides) under Paludibacteraceae bacterium. RNAcentral describes it as "tRNA-Thr". It matches the Rfam family "tRNA". Rfam says of the family: Transfer RNA (tRNA) molecules are approximately 80 nucleotides in length. Their secondary structure includes four short double-helical elements and three loops (D, anti-codon, and T loops). The record is from RNAcentral. Lineage: Bacteria; Pseudomonadati; Bacteroidota; Bacteroidia; Bacteroidales; Paludibacteraceae.
GCCAUUUUAGCUCAGCUGGUAGAGCAACUCAUUCGUAAUGAGUAGGUCCGGGGUUCGAGCCCCCGAAGUGGCU